UUGACAUCUUGCUUUUUUUCCAUCCAUUUAAAACACAUUGGUCCUGUGAGACUGCCCGGGAAGGCUGCCUUCUCUCCUACAAUUGGGCGUCUCCCUCCUGCUGGCCAUCUCCAGCGUCCCGUGGUUCCAUCCUGAGUCACAGGAUGCAGGGAGCAUCUUUCCACUUCACCCUUUUCGUACUUUGGAUCAUCCUCUUCCAGGGCUGAGGGACUUUGGGACUUGGCCAUUUCUGACAUAACACUAAGUCGUCUGGCAUUUUGUUUUAUUUGGUCAACGUUGACAUUUUGAACCUACUAGCUAGUUCCAAUAAAACCUUUUUAAAAAUAAGCCCGAAAAGUGAAAUGACCUUUAAGAAAUACUGUGAGAAUAUUGCACAGUGUCUUGGAUCCCUCAUCCUGUGAGAAUAUUGCACAGUGUCUUGGAUCCCUCAUCCUGUGAAAAUGGCAACUCCGCAGACCCAACUCUAUGACUGCAAAGCUUGAGUCAGGACAAAGUGAGACAGAUUUAUUGAUGACUCAGGGAGUGAGAAGAGGCGCGUUCCAGACAGAGGGCCUGUUUGGGAAAGAGGUACACUCCACUCCCAGGAAGCUGGCGCUCAUUCCAAGAGAUGGGACAGGCAGGGGCGCGGAGUGGAAGUGGGUAGCCUGAGAUAAGAGCAGCUCUUUCCAGACUUGGUGAGGCAGCAGAAGCGCUGGACGAGAUGUGGACAUGACCAGAGGCACCGGGCCUCCGUUUGGGCAGCCAGGAGUGAUUUCCUAGUGGGAAAAGUAUACAUUUGCAAACAGAUGGGAAUACAUUUGGAUAUGCAUAGAUGGAAUUACUAACCACCUUUACCUAUGUUCUAGCAGUCAGUUUCAAGUUAGAAGGAAAAUAUCCACAGGCCACAGGAU
Molecule: long non-coding RNA, 890 nt
Filed under: Homo sapiens (human)
Lineage: Eukaryota; Metazoa; Chordata; Mammalia; Primates; Hominidae
Description: non-protein coding lnc-CHSY1-1:1
Source: RNAcentral